UGGGAAUCUUGGACAAUGGGGGAAACCCUGAUCCAGCCAUCCCGCGUGAAUGAUGAAGGCCUUCGGGUUGUAAAACUCUUUCGACGGGGACGAUAAUGACGGUACCCGUAGAAGAAGCUCCGGCUAACUUCGUGCCAGCAGCCGCGGUAAUACGAAGGGGGCUAGCGUUGUUCGGAAUUACUGGGCGUAAAGCGCGCGCAGGCGGUCUUCCAAGUCAGUGGUGAAAGCCCGGAGCUCAACUCCGGAACUGCUAUUGAAACUGUGAGACUUGAGUACGAGAGAGGUGAGUGGAAUUCCCAGUGUAGAGGUGAAAUUCGUAGAUAUUGGGAAGAACACCGGUGGCGAAGGCGGCUCACUGGCUCGUAACUGACGCUCAGGCGCGACAGCGUGGGGAUCAAACA
This 401-nucleotide ribosomal RNA is filed under the name uncultured bacterium. RNAcentral's name for it is "bacterial SSU rRNA". It matches the Rfam family "Bacterial small subunit ribosomal RNA", at positions 356 to 774 of the family's 1533-position model. The record is from RNAcentral.